This 497-nucleotide ribosomal RNA is filed under the name uncultured bacterium. RNAcentral's name for it is "partial 16S ribosomal RNA". It matches the Rfam family "Bacterial small subunit ribosomal RNA", at positions 28 to 507 of the family's 1533-position model. The record is from RNAcentral.
GAUGAACGCUGGCGGCGUGCCUAAUACAUGCAAGUCGAGCGAACAGAUGAGGAGCUUGCUCCUCAGACGUUAGCGGCGGACGGGUGAGCUACACGUGGAUAACCUACAUAUAAGACUGGGAUCACUUAGGGAAACCGGAGCUAAUACCGGAUAAUAUAUUGAACCGCAUGGUUCAAUACUGAAAGACGGUUUUGCUGUCUCUUAUAGAUGGAUUCGCGUCGCAUUAGCUCGUUGGUAAGGUAACGGCGUACCAAGGCAACGAUGCGUAGCCGACCUGAGAGGGUGAGCGGCCAGACUGGAACUGUGGCACGGACCAGACGCCUAGAGGAGGCAGCAGUAGAGAAUCUGCCGCAAUGGGCGAAAGCCUGACGGAGCAACGCCGCGUGAGUGAUGAAGGUCUUCGGAUCGUAAAACUCUGUUAUUAGGGAAGAACAAAUGUGUAAGUAACUAUGCACGGCUUGACGGUACCGAGUCAGAAAGCCACGGCUAACUACGUG